GUUCAUGACAAUAUGUUACUGAAAUCAAGGAAUGAAGAAACUGCUACUUUGUUAUUGUUUUAAAGUGAUUAAAAAUCUAAAUCAACCAAUAAUUGUGUCACCGUUAGUACGGUGUUUGGCUCUUGUCCAAUACGUUAACGCUUCUCGCAGUCCAACUGUCGAAGGCUACUUUUGGCGGAUAAGAUAGAUUUCUAAUUGUUAAUAGCUUUAAAUUGAUACUGAAAUCGCAUUUUUGUUAGUGAUUUCUGUCUUAUAUUUAUCUAAAGAUUCAUAUUUUAACGUUUUAUCCGAGUACUAUCAAACAAUCAAAUACCCUGCGUCUACAAUGAUACCUCAACUCCUACACGGUUUUUUUUCCUCCCCAAGGAAGAGCUUGUAUCUGCGCAUGAAAUUCGCAGUGGAUUCUUUCUUAGCAUUGAGUCGUUAGCCAAUCAGAGCAAUGCAAUUUAUACUCCUAUUAUCGCUAACGAAGCGCGCUUCGACCGGAGAAGCUUGCAGAAACUUAGCUAUCACUAUACAAUAUGCUCAUAUACCAUAGACCAAAGAAUAUAUGGGUGGGGGCAUAUAUGGAUUACGGCAAGGGAUCCGCCGUAAGGUGAGGCUACGUGCACUUUGGCUGUAUUCCGUUUGACUCGGUAUCACUCGGAUCCAUUUGAGAUCGUUUGAUUCCCACCAUGGAGUUAUUAAGUCCAUGCUACCACCCGAAUAUAACCAAGAACCACGGACCAUAAGGAGAGUGCCUAGUUACGGUAAAGUGAUGCCAAAAAGCUGUAGUUCCUAAUUAAGAAACAGUCAGCAGCACUACACUGUCACACAAAGAUGAAGAACUCUUAUUCUCCUUACGUUUUUGAUACUACGUACCCCACUCCGUCGCCGAUAAGCCAAGUAUACGCUCUGAGCGCACUACAAAUGCACAGUCGAGCCCGUGCUGACAACAUAGGAAAAUAGAUGAGUUCAUAUAGUCUACCCUUACCGUGAAUCUCAACCCCUCGCAUUAACAGGUUCCGACCAUAUAUUUUUAAGUCAUUAUUCUUUAUGGAAGAAGAAAGCGAAAAUCUAGAUAUGAAUUUAAUAUAUUAUAUAAGUUUUUAAUGAUAUGUUAGAUGAUAACAAAUCUUAAUAAAGAAUUCUCAUAAUAAA
Megalopta genalis is the source of this 1140-nucleotide long non-coding RNA. RefSeq lists it as uncharacterized. The record is from RefSeq and is a predicted model, not a curated record. Lineage: Eukaryota; Metazoa; Arthropoda; Insecta; Hymenoptera; Halictidae.